RNAcentral lists this ribosomal RNA (583 nucleotides) under uncultured bacterium. RNAcentral's name for it is "partial 16S ribosomal RNA". It matches the Rfam family "Bacterial small subunit ribosomal RNA", at positions 355 to 1375 of the family's 1533-position model. The record is from RNAcentral.
UGGGGAAUUUUGGACAAUGGGCGAAAGCCUGAUCCAGCAAUGCCGCGUGUGUGAAGAAGGCCUUCGGGUUGUAAAGCACUUUUGUCCGGAAAGAAAUCCUUGGCUCUAAUACAGUCGGGGGAUGACGGUACCGGAAGAAUAAGCACCGGCUAACUACGUGCCAGCAGCCGCGGUAAUACGUAGGGUGCAAGCGUUAAUCGGAAUUACUGGGCGUAAAGCGUGCGCAGGCGGUUUGCUAAGACCGAUGUGAAAUCCCCGGGCUCAACCUGGGAACUGCAUUGGUGACUGGCAGGCUAGAGUAUGGCAGAGGGGGGUAGAAUUCCACGUGUAGCAGUGAAAUGCGUAGAUAUGUGGAGGAAUACCGAUGGCGAAGGCAGCCCCCUGGGCCAAUACUGACGCUCAUGCACGAAAGCGUGGGGAGCAAACAGGAUUAGAUACCCUGGUAGUCCACGCCCUAAACGAUGUCAACUAGUUGUGGGGAUUCAUUCCUUAGUAACGUAGCUAACGCGUGAAGUUGACCGCCUGGGGAGUACGGUCGCAAGAUUAAAACUUAAAUGAAUUGACGGGGUCAUAGCUGUUUCCU